Molecule: ribosomal RNA, 490 nt
Filed under: uncultured bacterium
Lineage: Bacteria
Description: partial 16S ribosomal RNA
Rfam family: Bacterial small subunit ribosomal RNA
Source: RNAcentral
AUUGAACGCUGGCGGCAGGCCUAACACAUGCAAGUCGAACGGUAACAGGAAGCAGCUUGCUGCUUCGCUGACGAGUGGCGGACGGGUGAGUAAUGUCUGGGAAGCUGCCUGAUGGAGGGGGAUAACUACUGGAAACGGUAGCUAAUACCGCAUAAUGUCGCAAGACCAAAGAGGGGGACCUUCGGGCCUCUUGCCAUCGGAUGUGCCCAGAUGGGAUUAGCUUGUUGGUGGGGUAACGGCUCACCAAGGCGACGAUCCCUAGCUGGUCUGAGAGGAUGACCGGCCAGACUGGAACUGAGACACGGUCCAGACUCCUACGGGAGGCAGCAGUGGGGAAUAUUGCACAAUGGGCGCAAGCCUGAUGCAGCCAUGCCGCGUGUAUGAAGAAGGCCUUCGGGUUGUAAAGUACUUUCAGCGGGGAGGAAGGGAGUAAAGUUAAUACCUUUGCUCAUUGACGUUACCCGCAGAAGAAGCACCGGCUAACUCCGUG